AACGUCAAAAUAACACUUGUCAUAAGUGCUUUUUUUGCUGAAUUUUGCUGCACGUACGUGAAUUCUGAAUGAAUUUAAUAUUCUCGUGUGAUACUUAAUGUAAAAUGUUUCAAAAUAAAUAUAUAUUUUGCUAAAAAUAGGCUUGUACAAGUUCUAGUGUUGUUUGUGAAGUUACCUGGCUGUACAAGCAUUCCUGUGCAAAAUAUGGAACAAAUCCUGAACUUAUUGUAUUUUCUCGCAGACAGUUGUACUUGCUUAUCGGCUGGGUCACAAGUUUCAAGAACUAAUCGAGGCUAUCUGGUCCAUCGGUUAAAAUUAUGGGUCAAUUAUAGAGAUACAGCAAAGGCUCAUUUUAAAGCAAAUUGAAGCGCAUGCAAAUAUUACCAAAUUAGAUGUUACUGGGUACACAAAAUCUGUGAGUCCCUACGAUUGAACGAGAGAUAAAAAAACAUCCAAGGGGGGGAGGGUGAUAUUUAAAAUUACCCUUCCUCUCCCCAAAUAUCACAUGUAUUUUUAGUUAUGAGAAAAAUUGUAAAUUUGUUGUUUUGAACCUCACUCAAUCAAGCUUCUAACAAGGUGAUCAUGGCACGAUAGGCUAGAUAGUGUACUUAUAUUACAAGUUCGACUCUAGACAAAGAAAGAAUUCUACUGAGCUCGAUCCUGAAAAGUAAAGGAAACUAGUCUGGGCCCAUUCUGCAAAACGAGUACACGAAGGACUGAAAAUAGAAGGACCGAUAGGAUUGGGAAGAAGAAGAAUGCAGAUGCGAAAAAAAUAUAGAAAAUAAAAAAUACAGGGAACUGAAAGUCAAAGCACGGGCACAAGGCUUUAGUUGAGGAUUUGUGCAGAUAUUUGGAUUACUCGAGCCUCGAAUAGAUCUAUUUACACUCGACAAUAUAACUUUGCCAUAAGGAUGAUGAAGGGUACACACUGCAAAUGCAAAUAAAUCAUAUUCUAAUAAUUAAAGAUAAUUUACUUAAAUCAGGAGAAAUAUCAUAAGAGGCUUUAGUUGAGGAUUUGUGCAGAUAUUUGGAUUACUCGAGUCUCGAGUAGAUCUAUUUACACUCGACAACAUAAUUUUGCCAUAAGGAUGAUGAAGGGUACACACUGCAAAUGCAAAUAAAUCAUAUUCUAAUAUUUAAAGAUAAUUUAAACCUAACUUAAAUCAGGAGAAAUAUCAUAAGAGGCUUUAGUUGAGGAUUUGUGCAGAUAUUUGGAUUACUCGAGCCUCGAAUAGAUCUAUUUACACUCGACAACAUAAUUUUGCCAUAAGAAUGAUGAAGGGUACACAACUGCAAAUGCAAAUAAAUCAUAUUCUAAU
Long non-coding RNA from Ctenocephalides felis (cat flea), 1319 nucleotides. RefSeq lists it as uncharacterized. NCBI's taxonomy places the organism in Eukaryota, Metazoa, Arthropoda, Insecta, Siphonaptera, Pulicidae. The transcript is spliced from 5 exons. The record is from RefSeq and is a predicted model, not a curated record.